RNAcentral lists this unclassified non-coding RNA (270 nucleotides) under Glomus sp. RNAcentral's name for it is "partial contains 5.8S ribosomal RNA and internal transcribed spacer 2". The stretch from base 1 to 65 matches the Rfam family "5.8S ribosomal RNA", at positions 84 to 154 of the family's 154-position model. The record is from RNAcentral. Lineage: Eukaryota; Fungi; Glomeromycota; Glomeromycetes; Glomerales; Glomeraceae.
GUGAAUCAUCGAAUUUUUGAACGCAAAUUGCACUCUCUUCGGAGAGUAUGCCUGUUUUAGGGUCAGCCUAAAAAAAAAUCUCCAUAGUUUCUGUUACGCGGUAACAUUCGUCGGAAAUUGGGUCAUCUUAAACCUUUGGGUUUACGCGGCUUAACAUUUUCUUUACGAUUCCAAUAACUUGGCUAAGAUUUUAUUUUCUUCUACGUUUAAGGUACCGAUCUUUAUUAGACGUGGCCGUUGCAUCAGAUCUCGUCCAUAAUUAUUUCUUUA